RNAcentral lists this ribosomal RNA (552 nucleotides) under uncultured bacterium. RNAcentral's name for it is "partial 16S ribosomal RNA". It matches the Rfam family "Bacterial small subunit ribosomal RNA", at positions 355 to 901 of the family's 1533-position model. The record is from RNAcentral.
UGGGGAAUUUUGGACAAUGGGCGAAAGCCUGAUCCAGCAAUGCCGCGUGUGUGAAGAAGGCCUUCGGGUUGUAAAGCACUUUUGUCCGGAAAGAAAUCCUUGGCUCUAAUACAGUCGGGGGAUGACGGUACCGGAAGAAUAAGCACCGGCUAACUACGUGCCAGCAGCCGCGGUAAUACGUAGGGUGCAAGCGUUAAUCGGAAUUACUGGGCGUAAAGCGUGCGCAGGCGGUUUGCUAAGACCGAUGUGAAAUCCCCGGGCUCAACCUGGGAACUGCAUUGGUGACUGGCAGCUCAGAGUAUGGCAGAGGGGGGUAGAAUUCCACGUGUAGCAGUGAAAUGCGUAGAGAUGGUGGAGGAAUACCGAUGGCGAAGGCAGCCCCCUGGGCCAAUACUGACGCUCAUGCACGAAAGCGUGGGGAGCAAACAGGAUUAGAUACCCUGGUAGUCCACGCCCUAAACGAUGUCAACUAGUUGUUGGGGAUUCAUUUCUAGUAACGUAGCUAACGCGUGAAGUUGACCGCCUGGGGAGUACGGUCGCAAGAUUAAAACU